CCAAACUAAUAACAAUAGUAGUUUAAAAUAUUAGAAACUAGCUGGCAUAAUAUUAAAUAUUAAAAUAUUUAUUAAAUUAUAUCUAUAAAUUUAAUUUUAUAAUUAAAAUAAUAAUAAUACUGUACAAGAAAAAAAAUUAAUUUUUAUAUAAAUUCUUCUUUAAUUUUUAUAAAUUUGUAAAACAUGAAAAACGAAUUUUCCCUUUUGAUGCUUUGUGCUGGUAUCAAUUUAUUGCAGAAAUUACUAAAAGCUCCAAGCUAAUAAAAUUACACUAGUGGGCUCCUGUUUAUAAUGAUAUAAUAUGACACUAUUAUUAUUUUUAUUUAUUGACAAGAAUAUCUGUCUUAAUAAAUUUAAAGUAUAGUAGUUUUGAAUGACUUAAUUUUUCUUUUAAUACUUUGAUGUAUUAUUCAAUGGAAAUAUAUAAAAUUCGUUUAAAUUUACAUAAAAGAAAUUUAAUAUGUAAUUUUAUUUAAUUAUAUAUUUUUAUUUAAACUUAAUAAUUUAUACUAUAUAAUCUGCAAGAUAAAUUUAUACUCUUCUUUCUUUCUGUUUUUUUCUUUCCUUAUUUUGUUCUUUCAUUUUCUAUUAAAUCAAGCACACAAAUCUUUGAUCUGAAAGCCUUAAAUGUAAAAGCUAUCUCUACCUGUAAUGCGCACUGUGUUCUUUUCUUUCCUCUUCCACCGCUGCUCCAACUUCUUCCUCUGUUCAGACAUAACUUAUUCUUGUCGCACAUUGUUGUAAAUCUUUGUCGCACACUGCUACUGCUACACGUCGCCGCCGGUAAAGAAAGAAACAUCCUCAAUACUCACAAGCUUUGCCUAUAUUAGAGGAUCUGGGCGUUGCACAGCUUGCUUGUGGUGCUGGUAUUGGUGGUUGGUGGGUUCUCCACCUCCGCAUGAAAUUGAGGAUACAGUGAAGCGAAAGGACCUAUUCAAAGCAUUAUGAUUCUUGAAAUCGACAAAAUUAAGGAUAAUCCACAUGAAACUGGUAAUGGAUUUUGGACGCUUGUUUGAAUGCUGAAGAUGUGAAGCUCGCAGGCAAUAUUUAUGCACUAAGAGCAGCCAUUUACCUCUGCAAUGAUGGUAAAGUUUUAAAUUUGCUCAAUUUUUUGAACUAAAUUUUGAAUGCGAAGAAUCCAGGUCGAUGUUGUUUAUAAUGAACGGGUUCUGAAGAGAAAAAUGAGAAGAGAGGGAAAGAAAGAGGAAAGAUUGGUGAAAUUGGGAAUCUGAAUUUGAGAGAGAAAAAGAGAACGAAUUAUUAAAUAAAAAAGAGACCGGUGGCGUCGAAAAUGUUGGGUGGUGCUACUGCUAGUGGACAAUUCUGCUGUGGAAGGAUUUGAAUGCAAAGGAAGAGAUCACGAAGAUGGGGAAGGCGCUGCUUUCGGAGAAAAACAUAAGGUAAUGAAAAAUUAAGAAGAGUGAAAAGAAGCAGGCUUACAGUUGUAUGGCCUUUUUAAGUGCUACAAUAGUAUCCAUAGGUGUGGAGAGAUCAAUGGCAAAAUCAAUGCCAUCCCCCAUUUCUGGACUUCUGUAGAAGUUGCUGAUUGGCUUUGUCAGUAGCAAUGAAUUUGGGUAAUAAAUUUUCUCCAUAUCGUAGCGAAGAAACACGGUAGUUAAGAUAUUCAUCUCUUCUACAAUCAUCUGUGCACAGACAGCACUUACAGAUAAUUGCAAAAGGGAAAGAAAAAGAAAGAUUUAUAUGUGAAAACUGACCUGAACGCCGUCGACAACGCAGCGAUCUCCAAUAUCAAAAGGGUGCAUGAUGAAGACAAAAAUGAUGGAUUCAAAGAUAGUUUUGCACAUGUUUUGAAAGAUGACUCCCAAAAUAACGAUUUGAGUGGCCACAAAGAGUACGAUCUUUACUGUGGCUAAACCCAUCAGCAAAAUGGUGACCACAACUAUAAUCACUAUCACAAUGGAACUUGCUAGCUUGUGAAGCUGUUGCACUGCUGUUUUUGUAUCAUUUAGUGAAUGAGCUAGCGCUUUUCUUUCGAAGUAUGCUCGGACCUGCAAAGUGUUAGAUUAAUUAAUUUGAUCAAAGAGUCACUAGUUGUUAAUUCUUUUCAGUUCUUGACAUUAGUAAUCUUUUUACCACCCAGUUCCGGAAAGCAGACUUUGAUAUUCUACCCGUCUCAAGGGCUCCUUCAAAGAGUGGAAAAAUGGUGUGAAUUUCAACCCUCUUUAGAAAUCUCAUAAGAUCCUCCUCUUCGAUAUACCUUCAGUAAACAGCUCUGAUCUUGUUAAUUCAAUAAACCCUAGCUAAAGAAGUUGAUAAGGCAUAACAUGUAUGAAAAUGUUUUUAUUUUCUUCUUUAAUGAAUAUGUUUUUAUUU
Ricinus communis (castor bean) is the source of this 2334-nucleotide long non-coding RNA. RefSeq lists it as uncharacterized. The transcript has 2 exons. Lineage: Eukaryota; Viridiplantae; Streptophyta; Magnoliopsida; Malpighiales; Euphorbiaceae. The record is from RefSeq and is a predicted model, not a curated record.